RNAcentral lists this ribosomal RNA (365 nucleotides) under Symbiodinium sp. clade D. RNAcentral describes it as "partial Eukaryotic small subunit ribosomal RNA". It matches the Rfam family "Eukaryotic small subunit ribosomal RNA", at positions 753 to 1114 of the family's 1831-position model. Lineage: Eukaryota; Dinophyceae; Suessiales; Symbiodiniaceae. The record is from RNAcentral.
UACUGUGAAAAAAUUAGAGUGUUUAAAGCAGGCCGUUUCGGCCACUGUAUACAUUAGCAUGGGAUAAUAGAAUAGGACAUGAGUCCAUUUUGUUGGUUUUUAUGGGUCUCGCGUAAUGAUUAACAGGGACAGUUGGGGUGACUUGUAUUUGGGGGCGAGAGGUGAAAUUCUAUGAUCCCCCAAAGACAAACUACUGCGAAAGCAUUUCACAAACAUGUUUUCAUUAAUCAAGAACGAAGGUUAGGGGAUCGAAAACGAUUAGAUACCGUUGUAGUCUUAACAGUAAACUAUGCCGACUAGGGAUCGGGCGAUGUUCUUCUUUUGACUCGCUCGGCACCUUACGAGAAAUCAAAGUCUUUGGGUUC